GACGAACGCUGGCGGCGUGCCUAAUACAUGCAAGUCGAACGCAGUGGGGACGGGUGAGUAACACGUGGGUAACCUCCCAUCAGAGGGGAUAACACUUGGAAACAGGUGCUAAACCGAUACUGAUGGAUGGACCCGCGGGGCAUUAGCUGGUUGGUGGGGUAACGGCGCACCAAGGCCACGAUGCAUAGCCGGUCUGAGAGGGUGAUCCGCCACACUGGGACGGAGACACGGCCCAGACUACUACGGGAGGCAGCAUUGGGGAAUAUUUGGCAAUGGGCGAAAGUCUGACCGAGCAACGCCGCGUGAGUGAAGAAGGUCUUCGGAUCGUAAAGCUCUGUUGUUGGAGAAGCGGUACCUAACCAGAAAGCAACGGCUAACUCCGUGCCAGCAGCCGCGGUAAUAC
This 403-nucleotide ribosomal RNA is filed under the name uncultured bacterium. RNAcentral's name for it is "partial 16S ribosomal RNA". It matches the Rfam family "Bacterial small subunit ribosomal RNA", at positions 28 to 526 of the family's 1533-position model. The record is from RNAcentral.